GAUGAACGCUGGCGGCGUGCCUAAUACAUGCAAGUCGAGCGAACGGACGAGAAGCUUGCUUCUCUGAUGUUAGCGGCGGACGGGUGAGUAACAAGUGGAUAACCUACCUAUAAGACUGGGAUAACUUCGGGAAACCGUAGCUAAUACCAGAUAAUAUUUUAAACCGCAUGGUUCAAAAGUGCAAGACGAUCUUGCUGUAACUUAUAGAUGGAUCCGCGCUGCAUUAGCUGGUUGGUAAGGUAACGGCUUACCAAGGCAACGAUGCGUAGCCGACCUGAGAGGUUGAUCGGCCACAAUGGAACUGAGACACGGUCCAGACUCCUACGGGAGGCAGCAGUAGGGAAUCUUCCGCAAUGGGCGAAAGCCUGACGGAGCAACGCCGCGUGAGUGAUGAAGGUCUUCGGAUCGUAAAACUCUGUUAUUAGGGAAGAACAUAUGUGUAAGUAACUGUGCACGUCUUGACGGUACCUAAUCAGAAAGCCACGGCUAACUACGUG
Molecule: ribosomal RNA, 497 nt
Filed under: uncultured bacterium
Lineage: Bacteria
Description: partial 16S ribosomal RNA
Rfam family: Bacterial small subunit ribosomal RNA
Source: RNAcentral